RNAcentral lists this ribosomal RNA (253 nucleotides) under uncultured bacterium. Its description in RNAcentral is "partial 16S ribosomal RNA". It matches the Rfam family "Bacterial small subunit ribosomal RNA", at positions 524 to 776 of the family's 1533-position model. The record is from RNAcentral.
UACGGAGGGGGCUAGCGUUGUUCGGAAUUACUGGGCGUAAAGCGCACGUAGGCGGCUUUACAAGUCAGAGGUGAAAGCCCCGGGCUCAACCUGGGAAUGGCCGUUGAAACUGGCGAACUGGAGUGUGGCAGAGGGGGGUGGAAUUCCGCGUGUAGCAGUGAAAUGCGUAGAGAUGCGGAGGAACACCGAUGGCGAAGGCAGCCCCCUGGGCUGACACUGACGCUCAGGCACGAAAGCGUGGGGAGCAAACAGG